RNAcentral lists this long non-coding RNA (1007 nucleotides) under Bemisia tabaci. RNAcentral's name for it is "lncRNA ENSASIAIIG001356". Lineage: Eukaryota; Metazoa; Arthropoda; Insecta; Hemiptera; Aleyrodidae. The record is from RNAcentral.
AAUCUAUUGUCCUGCUAGUGAUGCAAGCUCAACGUUUUUCCCUCACUGAUCAGACGGCGAUCCGAUUCAACAAUAAUGCUUACUUUCAUUUUCAAAGCAACGGCAGCAGAACGAUCGGCGGUCAUUAAGUUGACAAUGGUUGAAAUCUUUCGUUCGAAGGCAAAUUAGUCCACUCAAUCAUUUCAGCCAAGAUUGCAGGCAGAUUGUAUAACGGAAUAAAUACAUUUCCCGUUCCGGACUAUCCGUAUUCUUUGCAUCGAGUUAAGCCUGGACACUGCUUCUAUCUCAAAACUACUUCCCCAGUGGUGAUCAUUCAAAAAUUAGCAAUUAAUUUAAAUUCCGUUUCACAUAUACUUACGUUUUUGUGUCGUUCGGUUGCGAUAUUCGCUCCUAAUUCAAAUCGAUUUAAUUAUAUUCUUUACAUUAUUUGCUUCCAUAGUUCUAAAAUGAUCGGUGCUGAUCUUCCGCUUUUAGUGUGACUUAAAUCAUACGCCAAUAACCUGUUAAUUUACAAUAUUUGUGGUAGAAUGCACUUCAAAAUCGUGUUCAUGGUGAUAGUAAUAAACUCUGCGUGUGUUAUUGGUUCUGACUUGAAUUUUAACAUCACUACGGCAGCUGCAAGCUCGAACUUGAUUUUGUGCUCCCAUUUGUGAAGUUACCAAUUUUGGCGUGGGGCCACUCAUAGAGUUGGAUGCCCAGUCUAUCACUGCUGCCUUUACUGCCAUAGUUUUUCUGUACAUUGUUCCAAAGCUCCUCUUUUUACUAUACCCCAACUACCAGCUUCCUCCAGCGCCUGCAGCGGGACCCGAUAGAGGGGAAAGAUCAUUCGACAUGCCAUUCGAUCUCCACUCAGUUGAAGAAUUCUUGAGAACUUACGUGAUGCCGGUGGAUUCUUGCUCCUCGGCCAAUUCGUCUUACAUGAACAUGAAUAUCACAUCAACCAAUGCAAGCAAAAAAUCUGUAAAAUUUUAUCCUUUGAAUAAAACCGAUUAUGAUGAGCAGUGAUU